Molecule: ribosomal RNA, 465 nt
Filed under: uncultured bacterium
Lineage: Bacteria
Description: partial 16S ribosomal RNA
Rfam family: Bacterial small subunit ribosomal RNA
Source: RNAcentral
CUACGGGGUGCUCCAGUGAGGAAUUUUGCGCAAUGGGGGAAACCCUGACGCAGCAACGCCGCGUGAGCGAAGAAGGCCCUCGGGUCGUAAAGCUCUGUCAAGUGGGAAAAAAAUUUUUUGAUCAAUAGUCAAAAGACUUGAUGGUACCACUGGAGGAAGCACCGGCUAACUCCGUGCCAGCAGCCGCGGUAAUACGGAGGGUGCAACGCGUUGUUCGGAUUUACUGGGCGUAAAGAGCGUGUAGGCGGUUUAGCAAGUCAGAUGUGAAAGCCCUGGGCUCAACCCGGGAAGUGCAUUUGAAACUGCUUCACUAGAGUAUGGGAGAGGAGAUUGGAAUUCCUGGUGUAGAGGUGAAAUUCGUAGAUAUCAGGAGGAACACCCGUGGCGAAGGCGAUUCUCUGGACCAAUACUGACGCUGAGACGCGAAAGCGUGGGGAGCAAACAGGAUUAGAUACCCCGGUAGUC